This is a long non-coding RNA of Vombatus ursinus (common wombat), 837 nucleotides long. RefSeq lists it as uncharacterized. The record is from RefSeq and is a predicted model, not a curated record. The transcript is spliced from 3 exons. NCBI's taxonomy places the organism in Eukaryota, Metazoa, Chordata, Mammalia, Diprotodontia, Vombatidae.
GACCUCAUUUCAAAAAUAACCAAUUUUUUGCCUUAGCUGCAGUUCAUUGUUAACUUGCCAGUGAUUCCCUCAGCCAGCAGCCCUCGCCAUCGGCUUAGCAAGACGUGGACCCUCAUUUAGGACAACGCAGAUCUGAACCCUGACAAAAGUGAUGAUUGGCUUCCAUUCCAUCCUCGGCUUCCUGAACCCUCGGGGUGCUCUGUGAGUCAUGCCUCCAUUCUCUGUUCAUGCCCUCCUCUCUCAGAGUGGCCCUGUUUAGCCCAGAUCAAGCCUGUUAAUUCAUUUGAUGCUGGCAGUCAUGACUUCGCUGCACUGAAGAUGCCUCCAGAUUCAAAGCUCUACAGCACCACAGCUGUCACUAACGAGUCUGAUUUUUUGAGGGCAAACAAGCCAACGUGCUAGUGAUGCAACACUGACCUCACUCAUCUUGGGAGAAGCCAAGCUAUAAACAAUCCAUCCAACUACUAACCUACUUUGGACAACACCUUGGAAGUCAUUUGGAUCAAGUUUUGUACCAGGGCCACCCCUCGCCACCCCCAUCCUACCCACAACAACCAUGAAAGAUCUUUGCUGGUAUCUGGCCGCACAUGUACACGUGUCAACAUUUGCAAGAACUUCUAUUUUAAUUAACACUCAGACAACAUCUACUCUAGGAUUUUUAAAAAGAGCACAUUCUUUGCACGAUUUAAAUAAACCUUGUGGCACUCAAAAGGAAAGCCCAUUCCUCACGAAGAGGCACCAAAGAACGUCCUUGUUUUCUGCAAGGUUAUUUCAUACCAAAAUGUUCAAGGUUUACAAAGACAAGCUUUAGAAAAUAAAUGUAUCCAGUCAAAAUUA